RNAcentral lists this non-coding RNA (23 nucleotides) under Rattus norvegicus (Norway rat). The record is from RNAcentral. Lineage: Eukaryota; Metazoa; Chordata; Mammalia; Rodentia; Muridae.
CUUUCUACCUCUCUGUUGGCUGC